UUACUCAUGACUUUAAUGAAAGUAUCACGGUACAUGAAAUAACUGAUAUAAGAAAACAACAAACGAAACGUGAAACUAAUUACAGCCUAUCUGGUGACUACAACACAGAGACAGGAACAAACACCCACAAAAUACAACGCGAACUCAGGCUACCUAAAUACGGUUCCCAAUCCGAGACAACGAGAAUCACUUGACUCCAAUUGAGAAUCGCUUCAGGCAGCCAAACCUAACUAGACACACCCCUAAUCAUACACAAUCCCAAUUAAUACAAACCCCAAUACGAAACCCAACAUAUAAACCCAUGUCACACCCUGGCCUACCCAAACAUAUACCAAAAACACAAAAUACAAUGACCAAGGCGUGACAAACGUCCCAUGUUCUGAAUUCUGUUGCUGUACAUUUCAAAAGAGCUGACCAAAUAGUUAUAUUGACUACGUCCAUCCUAGGUCGAUCAUUAAUGUCUUAAUCAAAAUUACAGAUUGCCUCUUAUCCGCUCGUCGCCCCCUUAUGCCAUAGUUUGUACAUCUCAAUUGUCAAUAGAAACCAUAUUUGUUUAAGCAAGUCAGCCAUACCAGCUGUUUCGCUGCCAGACAAGGCUCCGAUGAUAGCCAGGUGUAACAGUGGUAAAGGACUGUUGGGACAGCUUUAUGUAGGCUUUAUGUAGGCCCUAACAGUUUGUCGGCACCGUUUGUCACCCUGAAAUUAAUGUAUUGUUUAGUGUUGUGUUGUGUAGUGGCUUUGUUGGCGUGCAUCAAAAACAUUUUCUCCCCAUCUUCACUACUACUGCAUCAAUAUGUUUUGACCAUGACAAUUUACAAUCUCGGGAUACUCCAAGCAGUUUAGUCAUCUCAACUUGCUCUAUUUACACAUGAUUUAUUACAAUAUUUAGUUGAAGUGUAGGGUUUAGUGAGUGUUUUGUUCCAAAUACAAUGCUUUAAGUUUUAGAAAUAUAUAGGGCUAACCUAUUCCUUGCCACUCACUCUGAAACUAACUGCAGCUCUUUGUUGAGUGUUGCAGUAAUUUCAGUCGCUGUAGUAGCUGACGUGUAUAGUGUUGAGUCAUCCGCAUACAUAGACACUCUGGCUUUACUCAAAGUCAGUGGCAUGUCGUUAGUAAAAAUUGAAAAAAGCAAGGGGCCUAAACAGCUACCCUGGGGAAUUCCUGAUUCUAACUGGAUUAUAUUUGAGAGGCUUCCAUUAAAGAACACCUUCUGUGUUCUGUUAGACAAGUAAAUCCACAUUAUAUCAGGGGGUGUAAAGCCAUAACACAUCUCAGUGUCAGCAUCGAAGGCAAAAGGUGCUCAACCCAGAGACGGGGCCAUGGACCAAGGAGGAAGAUGAGAGGGUAUGGCCCCAAGCAAUGGUCCAUCAUUACCAAGCAUCUGCACGGGCGUAUCGGCAAGCAGUGCCGGGAGCGCUGGCACAACCACCUUAACCGGACUCAGGAGGAGGACCAGAUCAUAUACGCUGCUCACAAACGUAUCUGGAACCGCUGGACCGAGGAAUCUAAGCUGCUGCCUGGCAGACAACUCUAUUAGAAUCACUGGAACUCCAGCAUGCGUAGGAAGGUGGAGCACGAGGUCUACCUGCAGGAUGUCACGACACAGAUCGAUAAGACCAAGGCUCCCAUCAAGAGAAGGACCAAGUCCUCCUGCUCCUCUAGGGACUCCUGCGGAGCCAGAAUCAUUAUGCCAUGAUUAUCCCCACAAAGGUGAUCACUGAGCACCCAUCUUUGGUUUCUACCAGUCAGCACAAUCAACUAGACUGAACAAUAGCCAAUUGUUUGAAUUGAAAAUCACCAUUGAAAUCAGGAUGAAAUCAAUCCCAAACUGUUUGUUGAUUUUAUGACACUGUUUUUUUUGUGUAUGUUUUGGUAGAUUUCAGGAUAUACCCUUGGCUUGUUGGAUGGCCAGUAUAUGGAAAGUGUUCCUGAAACUGCUUACUUUGUCCCAGUGAGUGUCCCAUCUCUGCACUCACUUAGCUUAGCUUAACCAUGUUGCAAGUGAACCCCUCCCCUACCACCAUCGUACAGUAGCUCCUAUGUAAUUCAGUAAGAGAGGAAUAAGACUUGUAAAUGAGAAAAUUAGCUGUUCUUUUCCUGACCAAUCUCUCCUGAGCUGCAUGUACCCCCGGAGUCAUUCACUGACCAAUAAAGAGCAGAGAAUUAAGGAACUCAAACAGCUCCUUAUGGCAGCUGAGAGCCAAGUCAGGAAUCGGGCAGCUUCCUGUGUAAGACAGAAGAACCCUUGUAUGUGCAGUCAAUAGUGUAGUACGCUCUAGAACACAUCCUUAUCGCCCUUCCCACCAGCUCCUCAUCCUCCAUCUUACUCACCUCCGGUUAGCUGCCCCUCCUAGCUGCUACCAUCCUGUCCUUCCCUGCUUCAUACUGUAGUAUCUAGCAGUGAGUCAUCAUUAACACCUUCUCAUAUUAGCAGUGACUGUUCAUCAUCUGUUUCUGCUCUUGCCAACUCCAUUGCUGUCAUUGUCAAACCAAACAUAAUCUCUGUUAACCUAGAGGUAAAAUCAUGCGUAAUUUGGUCAGCUGCGUGAUUAAUUUCUAAAUUAGAAAUUGAGCAUUCCGGCAAAAAUUCGCAACCCUCGCAAAAGGAAACUCUCAGCCAAAGCCCCUCCUUACCAUCCGUGUGGGCACACGAACAAAGCACUUGAGGCGAAGCAGUUUAAGCACCGCCUUUGGGUCAAUCCUGAUCCCAUUCAGUCCUGGCAGAUUCUUUCGGUCUACUGUACACGCAGAAUCUGCCCAUGGGAGAUUAAGCCAAACAUGACAAUUUUUGUAUUUGUAUUUAUUAUGGAUCCCCAUUUGCUGCUGUCAAUGCAACAGCUACUCUCUUGGCAUGACAGUUGCAUGAGGAGUUGGCAAGGGCAGAAUCAUACUGGCACCCAGGCUAGCUGUUCAAAACACCUGUGAGGCCUCUUUGGAUAGAAGUGGACCUCUAAUGAAAAUCUAGUAGAUUUUCACUUCUGUGCAAAAAUGCAUAGUUCAUGUUAAAGUUUUGGAAUUUAACUGAGGCACCUGCUCCUGCUCAUGUCUACCCGUAGUCUCAUUAUAUUUACAUUGGUAAAUGUACUUAUCCUGUUUAGGGCCAAGAGUUGUUCCCGGGCAGAUUAUUUAAUCUGGGAAACUCCUGGCCCUCACAUCCCUACGUCCAAGCGUUCAUAGUGACGUCACUUUUUGAUCCUUUGAUGUGGGCUCCUCCUAUCAUUGUGAAGCAGAAUUCACCAAGCGUUGGAUAGUUCACCCACUAAUAGGGAACGUGAGCUGGGAUUAGACCGUCGUGAGACUGGUUAGUUUUACCCUUUCUGGUUCUAACCUUCGUCUAGCUCUGGUCCAGGGCAUUACGUACGGCUUGCUUACGCUGAGCCUUCAGCAUCAGCAAGCUGCAUGUAACACCCUGGACCAGAGCUAACCUCUCCCUGACCUCUCGCUUGACACUAACUAUAGGACUUGGCAAGAGAGCACAAACAGAUCUGGGACCAAGCUAGCUAAAAUUCACUCAGAUAAUUUUUACCCAGAUGUAUAAUACUACUAGGCAAUCUUACUGUAGGUAGAAAACAUCAGAUCUCCUACUUCUAUUUUUACACAAAACAACCACCUGUAUUUUUUAUAUGUCUGUUUUUGCUUAGAGGUUAAUAGGAAAAUUACAUGACCACAUGUAGCCAAUGAACCAUACUGGUACUUACACACUGGUGUAACGUCUGCUUCCAACUCACACUCUCAAACACAGAUCCCCUGAACGCAGCUCACUCUCCAGAUCCCAAUCACCUAAAUUCUGAUCACCUGUUCACACACCUGUAUGUAAUUUACACACACUAUUUAGUUCAGUUCAUUGCACCCCAUCAUUGUGAGGUAUUGUUUUUUUUUUUUUGUAUACAUUCUAUUCGGAGCUCUGUUUAUUUCUGUUUUAGUCCUCCCGUGUAUCGUAGUUUUUGGAAAUCCUCACUAACAAUGGUUUUCGCCUAUUCCCUGCCUAUUCCCUGCCUAUUCCCUGCCUAUUCCCUGCCUAUUCCCUGCCUAUUCCCUGCCUAUUCCCUGCUAAUUUAUUGUGCAGAAACUUUUGAAGAUUUUGUCAUCCAAAAUAAUAUUUAUAUUGGUCAUCUGAAGUUGUUAAUGCUGUUUUACUGCUUAACAAAACCCCACCUGAUAUUAAUUGUUAACACUUAACCAGUGAAUCAUGUUUAAUACUGAAUGUAUAGUUUUCAAAACGUAUAUUGAAAUUGACUGUUACUACUAUGCACAGACUGUUAAAUAUUUUCAAAUUAUUUUCAAUUGGACAAUAGCUUGUGUAUCUAUUGUGUCUCCCUAGAGAUGAAAGCAUUGCAACAUUCACAGAGCACAUUAUGUCCCAUAUUCACUAUCUGCUCUAUAUUUUUACGAACACAGUUUACAGCAUUCCACCUCAGCUGUCUAUACAAAAGUAAAUUGUACUUAUUGUUUUUAAGAUGUGUGUAUUUCUUUAGAUGGAGCAUGCAUAUUUUGUUAUAAUUUAAUGUUGUUAUUAACCAGAAGUAAAGUUGAUGGAGGUGAAUGUUUUUGCUGCUACAUAGACAGCAGAGACACCCACUUAUCAGAGGGUCAGAAGCCACUGGAGGAACACUGUCUGAGAUAUCCUUUAAUUUGAAUUGUGGAAGUUGGUUGUUAAAUAACUUGCUCUAUGGGUGUCCAAAGAGCAAGGUUUAUGUUUAUGAAAGGUACACUGAUGCUGUGUAGAAAUGUAAAUUGCUUACUUUCUUAGCAAGGUUUUUUAAACAUGGAUUUUCAUUCAAAAUCAUAAAACAGUAUGUAGCAAGUUCCGUGAGUAUCACGUUUAACACAGGUAUAAAUACACAGGAGAUAAUUGGGAAUAUGGGCGAGACAAACACAAAGACAGGUGAAACAGAUCAGGGCGUGACAGUAUCCCCCCCCCCUUAGGGACACCACCUGGCGUCCUACCUGGGCGCAUAACCUGGUUGAGAUGGGGCCUGGGUCCAGGAUGUUGAGAGGUGAACCUGCAAGUAAGCAGUUAAUUGUAGUGUUUACAUCGUGUGUAUCCUGUGCAUAUGACAAAUAAACCUGACUAGA
Molecule: RNA transcript, 5076 nt
Organism: Oncorhynchus keta (chum salmon)
Lineage: Eukaryota; Metazoa; Chordata; Actinopteri; Salmoniformes; Salmonidae
Gene name: transcriptional activator Myb-like
Exons: 3
Source: RefSeq, a predicted model, not a curated record